This 426-nucleotide ribosomal RNA is filed under the name uncultured bacterium. Its description in RNAcentral is "bacterial SSU rRNA". It matches the Rfam family "Bacterial small subunit ribosomal RNA", at positions 355 to 773 of the family's 1533-position model. The record is from RNAcentral.
UGGGGAAUAUUGGACAAUGGGCGCAAGCCUGAUCCAGCAAUGCCGCGUGUGUGAAGAAGGCCUUCGGGUUGUAAAGCCCUUUUAUCAGGCGCGACAUACCACGGGUUAAUACCCUAUGGGGCUGACGGUACCUGAGGAAUAAGCACCGGCUAACUUCGUGCCAGCAGCCGCGGUAAUACGUAGGGUGCGAGCGUUAAUCGGAAUGACUGGGCGUAAAGUGUGCGCAGGCGGCAGAGCAAGUCGAGUGUGAAAGCCCCGGGCUUAACUUGGGAAUUGCGCUCGAAACUACUUUGCUGGAGUGUGGCAGAGGAAGGUGGAAUUCCACGUGUAGCGGUGAAAUGCGUAGAGAUGUGGAGGAACACCAAUGGCGAAGGCAGCCUUCUGGGCCAACACCGACGCUCAUGCACGAAAGCGUGGGGAGCAAAC